UUGACCUCAAAUCAGGUAGGAUUACCCGCUGAACUUAAGCAUAUCAAUAA
This 50-nucleotide ribosomal RNA is filed under the name Phellinus populicola. Its description in RNAcentral is "partial 28S ribosomal RNA". RNAcentral also lists the same sequence under 1 other name. The record is from RNAcentral. Lineage: Eukaryota; Fungi; Basidiomycota; Agaricomycetes; Hymenochaetales; Hymenochaetaceae.